GAGAGUUAAGAAGAGAGAAUGCCGGAAUGAGUAGCGAGAUUUAAGUGAGAAUCUUAAAGGCUGAAUAUCUAAGGUUUCCAGGGUAAAGCUGAUCUUCCCUGGGUAAGUCGGGGCCUAAGGCGAGGGCGAGAGCCGUAGUCGAUGGAUAACAGGUUGAAAUUCCUGUACUGCUUAUGGACAGAACUGUGGGGACGCAGAAGGAGAGCACGAGCCGGAAAUGGAAAAGCCGGUACAAGCGUAUAGCAGUCAUGCAGGCAAAACCGCAUGAAAAAUGUAAAGCGUUAUGUGGAUCGAACAUUAGUAGAGAAGCGUGUGAGCCAGCUGCCAAGAAAAGCCGCUAUUGCUUCAUAAGUACCCGUACCGUAAACCGACACAGGUGGAUGAGGAGAGAAUCCUAAGGCCGGCGGGAGAAGUGUUGUUAAGGAACUCGGCAAAAUGACUCCGUAACUUCGGGAGAAGGAGUGCCACAGAGAUGUGGCCGCAGAGAAAUGGCCCAAGCAACUGUUUAGCAAAAACACAGGUCUAUGCAAAACCGAAAGGUGAGGUAUAUGGGCUGACGCCUGCCCGGUGCUGGAAGGUUAAGAGGAGAGGUUAGAGCAAUCGAAGCUUUGAAUUUAAGCCCCAGUAAACGGCGGCCGUAACUAUAACGGUCCUAAGGUAGCGAAAUUCCUUGUCGGGUAAGUUCCGACCCGCACAAAAGGCGUAAUGAUUUGGGCACUGUCUCAACAACACACCCGGUGAAAUUGAAAUACCAGUGAAGAUGCUGGUUACCUGCGCCAGGACGGAAAGACCCCAUGGAGCUUUACUCCAGUUUGAUACUGGGAUUCGGUACUGUCUGUACAGGAUAGGUGGGAGGCUAGGAAAUGGUGACGCCAGUUGCCAUGGAGCCAACCUUGGGAUACCACCCUUACAGUACUGGGUUUCUAACCUGCAGCCGUAACCCGGCUGGGGGACAAUGUCUGACGGGGAGUUUGACUGGGGCGGUCGCCUCCGAAAGAGUAUCGGAGGCGCUCAAAGGUUCCCUCAGAACGGUUGGAAACCGUUCGAAGAGUGCAAAGGCAGAAGGGAGCUUGACUGCGACACCGACGGGUGGAGCAGAUACGAAAGUAGGACUUAGUGAUCCGGUGGUAUAAAGUGGGAUUGCCAUCGCUCAACGGAUAAAAGCUACCCUGGGAUAACAGGCUUAUCACUCCCAAGAGUUCACAUCGACGGAGUGGUUUGGCACCUCGAUGUCGGCUCAUCGCAUCCUGGAGCUGUAGCAGGUUCCAAGGGUUGGGCUGUUCGCCCAUUAAAGCGGUACGCGAGCUGGGUUCAGAACGUCGUGAGACAGUUCGGUCCCUAUCCGGCGUGGGCGUAGGAUAUUUGAGAGGAGCUGUCCUUAGUACGAGAGGACCGGGAUGGACAAACCUCUGGUGUAUCUGUUGUUUUACCAAAGGCAUGGCAGAGUAGCCAAGUUUGGCAGGGAUAAACGCUGAAGGCAUCUAAGCGUGAAGCCCCCCUCAAGAUAAGAUAUCCCAUCUUCGGAGUAAGACCCCUUGAAGACUACAAGGUUGAUAGGCUUUGUGUGUAAGUGCGGUAACGCACUCAGCUGAGAAGUACUAAUAGGUCGAGGACUUAUC
Molecule: ribosomal RNA, 1619 nt
Filed under: metagenome
Description: bacterial LSU rRNA
Rfam family: Bacterial large subunit ribosomal RNA
Source: RNAcentral